AGGACUAACGCUGGCGGCGUGCCUAACACAUGCAAGUCGAACGGGGGUAGCAAUACCCCAGUGGCAGACGGGUGAGUAACACGUGGUCAACCUACCUCUGUGUGGGGGAUAACUAGCCGAAAGGUUAGCUAAUACCGCAUACGAUCGUUUUGUAGGCAUCUCGAGACGAUGAAAGGAGCAAUCCGCACGGAGAGGGGACGUGCGUCCCAUUAGUUAGUUGGUGGGGUAACGGCCUACCAAGACUCCGAUGGGUAGCUGGCUUGAGAGAGCGACCAGCCACACUGGAACUGAGACACGGUCCAGACUCCUACGGGAGGCAGCAGUGAGGAAUUUUUCCGCAAUGGGCGAAAGCCUGACGGAGCGACGCCGCGUGUGGGAUGAAGGCCUUCGGGUCGUAAACCACUGUCGAAGGGGACGAUAUUGACGGUACCCUUGGAGGAAGCCCCGGCUAACUACGCGCCAGCAGCCGC
RNAcentral lists this ribosomal RNA (470 nucleotides) under uncultured bacterium. RNAcentral's name for it is "SSU rRNA". It matches the Rfam family "Bacterial small subunit ribosomal RNA", at positions 26 to 518 of the family's 1533-position model. The record is from RNAcentral.